RNAcentral lists this unclassified non-coding RNA (379 nucleotides) under uncultured Gammaproteobacteria bacterium. RNAcentral describes it as "contains 16S-23S intergenic spacer region". The record is from RNAcentral. Lineage: Bacteria; Pseudomonadati; Pseudomonadota; Gammaproteobacteria.
UCCGAGUUGACCCCGGCAGUCUUCUACGAGUCCCCGGCAUAAUCCGCUGGCAACAUAGAAUAAGGGUUGCGCUCGUUGCGGGACUUAACCCAACAUCUCACGACACGAGCUGACGACAGCCAUGCAGCACCUGUGUUCCGAUUCCCUUUCGGGCACUCCCGGCUCUCACCAGGAUUCCGGACAUGUCAAGGGUAGGUAAGGUUGUUCGCGUUGCAUCGAAUUAAUCCACAUCAUCCACCGCUUGUGCGGGUCCCCGUCAAUUCCUUUCAGUUUUAACCUUGCGGCCGUACUCCCCAGGCGGUCAACUUCACGCGUUAGCUACGGUACCAAGGAAUCACUUCCCCAACACCCAGUUGACAUCGUUUAGGGCGUGGACUAC